CUACGGGUUGCACCAGUGAGGAAUAUUGGUCAAUGGGGGAAACCCUGAACCAGCGACGCCGCGUGUGGGAUGACGGAGCUUCGCUCUGUAAACCACUGUCGGAAGGGAAGAAAAGUCUGUUCAGCAGACUGGGACAGUACCUUUAAAGGAAGGAUCGGCUAACUACGUGCCAGCAGCCGCGGUAAUACGUAGGAUCCAAGCGUUGUCCGGAUUUACUGGGUGUAAAGGGUGCGCAGGCGGACUUGUGCGUCAGAGGUUAAAUGUCACCGCUCAACGGUGAACCUGCCUUUGAUACGGCGAGUCUUGAGUACGAGAGAGGUAGGUAGAAUUCCUGGUGUAGCGGUGAAAUGCGUAGAUAUCAGGAGGAAUACCAGUGGCGAAGGCGGCCUACUGGCUCGUAACUGACGCUCAUGCACGAAAGCGUGGGUAGCGAACAGGAUUAGAUACCCCAGUAGUC
This 457-nucleotide ribosomal RNA is filed under the name uncultured bacterium. RNAcentral's name for it is "partial 16S ribosomal RNA". It matches the Rfam family "Bacterial small subunit ribosomal RNA", at positions 339 to 795 of the family's 1533-position model. The record is from RNAcentral.